RNAcentral lists this ribosomal RNA (253 nucleotides) under uncultured bacterium. RNAcentral describes it as "partial 16S ribosomal RNA". It matches the Rfam family "Bacterial small subunit ribosomal RNA", at positions 524 to 776 of the family's 1533-position model. The record is from RNAcentral.
UACGUAGGGGGCAAGCGUUGUCCGGAUUUAUUGGGCGUAAAGAGCGUGUAGGCGGCCAUACAGGUCAGCUGUGAAAACUCGAGGCUCAACCUCGAGACGUCGGUUGAAACCGUAUGGCUAGAGUCCGGAAGAGGAGAGUGGAAUUCCCGGUGUAGUGGUGAAAUGCGCAGAUAUCGGGAAGAACACCCGUGGCGAAGGCGGCUCUCUGGGACGGUACUGACGCUGAGACGCGAAAGCGUGGGGAGCGAACAGG